RNAcentral lists this transfer RNA (64 nucleotides) under Rhodobothrium cf. paucitesticulare DJM-2021. RNAcentral's name for it is "tRNA-Trp". The record is from RNAcentral. Lineage: Eukaryota; Metazoa; Platyhelminthes; Cestoda; Rhinebothriidea; Rhinebothriidae.
AUAAGAUUAAGUUAGUUAGACUGUAUGUUUUCAAAACAUAAAGCGGUUGUUUUAUCAUCUUAUG